GGUUAAGUGACUAAGCGUAUACGGUGGAUGCCUUGGCAGUUAGAGGCGAUGAAGGACGUGUAAGUCUGCGAAAAGCUGUGGUGAGCCGACAAAAUGCAUUUGAGCCACAGAUGUCCGAAUGGGGAAACCCACCUAUUUAUAGGUAUCGUUACAUGAAUAUAUAGUGUAACGAGGCGAACGAGGGGAACUGAAACAUCUAAGUACCCUUAGGAAAAGAAAUCAACCGAGAUUCCCCUAGUAGCGGCGAGCGAACGGGGAUUAGCCCUUAAGCAAUUAUGAACGUAGUGGAAGCCUCUGGGAAGUGGCGCGAUACAAGGUGAUAGCCCUGUACACGAAGUGUUUGUUUUUGUGAAAUCGAGUAGGUCGGGACACGUGUUAUCUUGACUGAAUAUGGGGGGACCAUCCUCCAAGGCUAAAUACUCCUAACUGACCGAUAGUGAACCAGUACCGUGAGGGAAAGGCGAAAAGAACCCCUGUGAGGGGAGUGAAAUAGAACCUGAAACCGUAUACGUACAAGCAGUGGGAGCAGACUUGUUCUGUGACUGCGUACCUUUUGUAUAAUGGGUCAGCGACUUAUAUUUAGUAGCAAGGUUAAGCGAAUAGCGGAGCCGUAGC
RNAcentral lists this ribosomal RNA (615 nucleotides) under Alteromonas stellipolaris. Its description in RNAcentral is "partial 23S ribosomal RNA". It matches the Rfam family "Bacterial large subunit ribosomal RNA", at positions 1 to 672 of the family's 2925-position model. Lineage: Bacteria; Pseudomonadati; Pseudomonadota; Gammaproteobacteria; Alteromonadales; Alteromonadaceae. The record is from RNAcentral.